Non-coding RNA from Danio rerio (zebrafish), 355 nucleotides. The record is from Ensembl. Lineage: Eukaryota; Metazoa; Chordata; Actinopteri; Cypriniformes; Danionidae.
GUCAAACAUGAAAUAGUAUCUCAUAUAUGUGCAACUGAUGUUUAUGUGUGUUUGUGUUUCUGUAUCCACAGAAGGAGGAACAUGUGAGGUGAUCGCAGCACACCGAUGUUGCAACAAGAACCGUAUUGAGGAACGUUCCCAGACGGUCAAGUGUUCAUGUUUACCAGGAAAAGUGGCUGGCACGACACGAAACAAACCCUCCUGUGUAGACGCCUCCAUUGUGAUUGGGAAGUGGUGGUGUGAGAUGGAGCCAUGUCUGGAGGGAGAAGAGUGCAAGACGCUACCAGACAACUCCGGCUGGAUGUGUUCCUCUGGGAAUAAGAUCAAGACCACGAGGAUUCAUCCCCGGACCUAA